Molecule: ribosomal RNA, 206 nt
Filed under: uncultured bacterium
Lineage: Bacteria
Description: partial 16S ribosomal RNA
Rfam family: Bacterial small subunit ribosomal RNA
Source: RNAcentral
AGUGUAGGCGGUUUCUUAAGUCAGAGGUGAAAGGCUACGGCUCAACCGUAGUAAGCCUUUGAAACUGGGAAACUUGAGUGCAGGAGAGGAGAGUGGAAUUCCUAGUGUAGCGGUGAAAUGCGUAGAUAUUGGGUAGAACACCAGUGGCGAAGGCGGCUAUCUGGCUAUAUAUUGACGCUGAGGCUCGAAAGCAUGGGGAUCAAACA